UGUUAACUCUUUGCAGACGAGGUCUAACUGGCCAUCCCAGCGCGCAGUCUCUCUUCUCUGUGCGUCAGCACUCGCUAUGAAGCCAUGUAGCGAUAGCUAGCAAAACUACUACUAACCCUGCACACACCACGAACUCUAACUAACACACUUAUCGUCUAAAAAACCCAUCGAAACACUCUUAGUAAAAUCCACAGCAUCACUGUGCCCUAGUCUCUUGCCGUAUCCAACCCCCCCCCUCGUCUCUUCCCACGUAUCUCCGUUCUACCUAGCAACAGACUGUCAACACAUUUUUAUUGGUUGUUUCGAAAUGUGGUACAUUUAGACCCCACAAAAUAAGGCGGAAAUGAUCGAUCUUAUUUCUGGCUUUAUUUUGAAGUAAAUAACCACAAAACCAAUAUAAAAACACCACUUUUAUAAAGUUUGAAGUCCGUGCUGUCCAACAGAGUCGAAAUGAAAACUCGGUAUGCGUCCAUGUUAUUACGAAGCCUUAUUAAUGCGUCACAUGCUUGUACGCCGCACGGCGGGCAGCGACUACAUAGGUUUAA
Molecule: long non-coding RNA, 545 nt
Organism: Poecilia latipinna (sailfin molly)
Lineage: Eukaryota; Metazoa; Chordata; Actinopteri; Cyprinodontiformes; Poeciliidae
Exons: 3
Source: RefSeq, a predicted model, not a curated record